RNAcentral lists this unclassified non-coding RNA (420 nucleotides) under Mitracarpus eichleri. RNAcentral describes it as "partial external transcribed spacer". Lineage: Eukaryota; Viridiplantae; Streptophyta; Magnoliopsida; Gentianales; Rubiaceae. The record is from RNAcentral.
GCAGGAUCAACCAGGUAGCAUUCCUCACGGACAUCGGCACGCACGGCGCUAGGCCGGAACGGAACCGAAGUCGUUCGAAAUAGGCCUUGAGGCCAUUUUUGUAGACAAAUAGGAGCCGAUGACUCCGUGCCCUCAUCGUUUUCUGCAUCCCAGCGCCCGAGCGAAAAUUCAUGGACCACGAAACUGACACGAAACGUGCAGAACGUGAGUCACGAAUCCCGUUUCGAGUUUCACCCGUAGCCGCACCGAGUUAACGGGCGACCUAAGGCGAACAGCUAGAGAUUGACAACCGAAUUCCAUCGAGUAGGUACAAAACACAGGAAACCGACAUGCGACAGCACUACAUUGCGCAAACAAUGAAGAGGAUAGCACGGUUGGACGUCGCCGCUCGAGGCAGGGAUCCAACCAAACCGUGCUAGC